GCCGGGUGUGGUGGUGCAUGCCUGUGGUCCCAGCUUCUUGGGAGGCUGAGGCAGGAGAAUUGCUUGAACCCAGGAGAUAGAGGUGGCAGUGAGCGGAGAUCGUGCCACUGCACUCCAGCCUGGGCGACAGAGUGAGACCCUGUCUCAA
Molecule: non-coding RNA, 148 nt
Organism: Homo sapiens (human)
Lineage: Eukaryota; Metazoa; Chordata; Mammalia; Primates; Hominidae
Rfam family: Metazoan signal recognition particle RNA
About the family: The signal recognition particle (SRP) is a universally conserved ribonucleoprotein. It is involved in the co-translational targeting of proteins to membranes.
Source: Rfam